This 496-nucleotide ribosomal RNA is filed under the name uncultured bacterium. RNAcentral's name for it is "partial 16S ribosomal RNA". It matches the Rfam family "Bacterial small subunit ribosomal RNA", at positions 28 to 507 of the family's 1533-position model. The record is from RNAcentral.
GAUGAACGCUGGCGGCGUGCCUAAUACAUGCAAGUCGAGCGAACAGAUAAGGAGCUUGCUCCUUUGAAGUUAGCGGCGGACGGGUGAGUAACACGUGGGUAACCUACCUAUAAGACUGGGAUAACUUCGGGAAACCGGAGCUAAUACCGAUAACCUUUAGAACCGCCUGGUUUUAAAGUGAAAGAUGGUUUUGCUAUUACUUAUAGAUGGACCCGCGCCGUAUUAGCUAGUUGGUAAGGUAACGGCUUACCAAGGCGACGAUACGUAGCCGACCUGAGAGGGUGAUCGGCCACACUGGAACUGAGACACGGUCCAGACUCCUACGGGAGGCAGCAGUAGGGAAUCUUCCGCAAAGGGCGAAAGCCUGACGGAGCAACGCCGCGUGAGUGAUGAAGGGUUUCGGCUCGUAAAACUCUGUUAUUAGGGAAGAACAAAUGUGUAAGUAACUGUGCACAUCUUGACGGUACCUAAUCAGAAAGCCACGGCUAACUACGUG